Molecule: long non-coding RNA, 487 nt
Filed under: Gallus gallus (chicken)
Lineage: Eukaryota; Metazoa; Chordata; Aves; Galliformes; Phasianidae
Source: RNAcentral
CGCGCUGUAGUACAUGACGGUGUUAAUCCCUGACAGUUGUUGAAACAUCUGCAGACCACAACCCACAAUUAAGGCUCUUCGAGUUGGAGGGUAUGUUAGCAUUCUGCAGAUCACAGGUCCAGCUGCUCCAACUUCUUUUUCUUCUUCUUCAAUGUUGUUUUUGAUACUGUCAUACUCCUCAUCGAUUGCCUGGUUGCCACGCAUCUGAGACAGAAUCCUCCGCGCUCUCUGAGUCUGCCCUUUCUGAAUCAGCCAGCGGGGGCUUUCAGGGAGAAACAGGAAACCAAAGAACUGUAUAACUGCUGGUACAGCUGACAGCCCCAACAUGUACCUCCAUCCAUCCUUCACGAGGUAGCUGAACAGUCCAUCCACGACGCUUGCAAAAAACUGCCCUCCAGUGAUGAACAGAGUGUUAAUGGUGACUAAUCUGCCUCUUAAGUGCGGUGGAGCAACUUCUGCGAUGUACACAGGCACUGUCAUAGAUGCU